GAUGUAGUUUCAUGGAGCCUUAAUAAGAAGAAGAGAUUCUCCACUAAAUCAGUUUAUGAGUGGCUAGAGAGGGAUUUAGCUGGUCCGAAUUACAAAUGGAUUUGGAAAGCUAAUAUUCCUUUAAAAAUUAAAAUCUUCUUGUGACAAUUGUUUCAAAAUGCUGUGCUUACAUGGGAUAACUUGCGGAAAAGGAACUGGCCUGGGAAUCCUGCAUGUUCCUUCUGCAACAACAUGGAAGAUGCUAAUCAUCUGUUCUUUACGUGUCCGCUUGCCCGAACUAUUUGGGGGGUCUUGGGUGCAACGGUUGGGGCUUUCUGUUGUCCCCGAUCAUUAUGGCAAUGUUGGGCGUGGCUAUAUAAAUUUUUCCCAGGCGAAAAGAAAUUCUAUAUGAUGAUUAUUGCUGCUAUUUGCUGGGGGAUCUGGUGCCUCCGAAAUAAAGUUCUUUUGAUAAAUACAAUGCUCGUACUCCGCUGGAGGCUGUUUUCAGUGCUUGUUCUUUUAUGUUGUACUGGGCAGGAUUGCUGA
This 525-nucleotide ribosomal RNA is filed under the name Triticum aestivum (bread wheat). RNAcentral's name for it is "partial small subunit ribosomal RNA". The record is from RNAcentral. Lineage: Eukaryota; Viridiplantae; Streptophyta; Magnoliopsida; Poales; Poaceae.